This 468-nucleotide ribosomal RNA is filed under the name uncultured bacterium. RNAcentral describes it as "partial 16S ribosomal RNA". It matches the Rfam family "Bacterial small subunit ribosomal RNA", at positions 28 to 507 of the family's 1533-position model. The record is from RNAcentral.
GACGAACGCUGGCGGCGUGCUUAACACAUGCAAGUCGAACGGAAAGGCCCUGCUUUUGUGGGGUGCUCGAGUGGCGAACGGGUGAGUAACACGUGAGUAACCUGCCCUUGACUUUGGGAUAACUUCAGGAAACUGGGGCUAAUACCGGAUAGGAGCUCCUGCUGCAUGGUGGGGGUUGGAAAGUUUCGGCGGUUGGGGAUGGACUCGCGGCUUAUCAGCUUGUUGGUGGGGUAGUGGCUUACCAAGGCUUUGACGGGUAGCCGGCCUGAGAGGGUGACCGGCCACAUUGGGACUGCGAUACGGCCCAGACUCCUACGGGAGGCAGAAGUGGGGAAUAUUGCACAAUGGGCGGAAGCCUGAUGCAGCAACGCCGCGUGCGGGAUGACGGCCUUCGGGUUGUAAACCGCUUUCGCCUGUGACGAAGCGUGAGUGACGGUAAUGGGUAAAGAAGCACCGGCUAACUACGUG